RNAcentral lists this ribosomal RNA (253 nucleotides) under uncultured bacterium. Its description in RNAcentral is "partial 16S ribosomal RNA". It matches the Rfam family "Bacterial small subunit ribosomal RNA", at positions 524 to 776 of the family's 1533-position model. The record is from RNAcentral.
UACAGAGGUCUCAACCGUUGUUCGGAUUCAUUGGGCGUAAAGGGUGCGUAGGCGGCGGGGCAAGUCAGGUGUGAAAUCUCGGGGCUCAACCCCGAAACUGCACUUGAUACUGCCUUGCUCGAGUACUGGAGAGGAGACUGGAAUUUACGGUGUAGCAGUGAAAUGCGUAGAUAUCUGGAGGAACACCGGUGGCGAAGGCGGCAUCCUGGACCGGCAUUGACGCUGAGGCGCGAAAGCUAGGGGAGCAAACGGG